AGCGACUGUGAAACAGGAUGUAACCUGUAUUUAUGGUGAAACCUUUUCGAGGUGUUUCUGCGUUGUAUAUUCAAUUUAAGUGGUCUUCGCUGCCAUGGUUAGUUUGUUUAUUUGUUUGACUGGUUAGUUCAUGUGCAAACGGUAUUUGCCCAUGAUGCUUGUGGCCUCCUACGGCCAGGAAGCAGCAACCUUUCCUGUCACAAAAGAUCGAGAGGCUAAAGCAAGCUGGUUGUCCCAGUCAAGCGCUGUCCAGAACUUGUGAGAAGUUUUCAAAAGGGCUAAAAAAUCAGGCGACUGAAAGCGCAUCCUCCUCCCUGCGCGCGGUUACUUUCGGAUGGCUGAGCGCGCGGGACCUUCGUCUGCUCACUGGAGCGGUGGCUCAAUUCCGAUUCAGAAUACCAGCCGAGCUCGGAUUCGGACUCGGACUCGGACAGAGUCGCAUGCGAGGAAGAGGGUUCCGCAUCGUCAGAUUCGGAUGUUGAGCGGAUUUUAUAGUCAGGCUGAUGAUGAUGAUAAUGUUUACUAACAACAGCUGCAGAACACUGAAAUGUGCAUAUUGCAUUGACUGUUAUUUGUAUACCAAUCAUAAUCAAAAAUAAAUUGCUGUUUAUUCC
Molecule: long non-coding RNA, 614 nt
Organism: Dermacentor albipictus
Lineage: Eukaryota; Metazoa; Arthropoda; Arachnida; Ixodida; Ixodidae
Source: RefSeq, a predicted model, not a curated record